This 686-nucleotide ribosomal RNA is filed under the name Streptomyces brevispora. RNAcentral describes it as "bacterial SSU rRNA". It matches the Rfam family "Bacterial small subunit ribosomal RNA", at positions 11 to 713 of the family's 1533-position model. The record is from RNAcentral. Lineage: Bacteria; Bacillati; Actinomycetota; Actinomycetes; Kitasatosporales; Streptomycetaceae.
GUUUUGAUCCUGGCUCAGGACGAACGCUGGCGGCGUGCUUAACACAUGCAAGUCGAACGAUGAAGCCUUUCGGGGUGGAUUAGUGGCGAACGGGUGAGUAACACGUGGGCAAUCUGCCCUUCACUCUGGGACAAGCCCUGGAAACGGGGUCUAAUACCGGAUAAUACUUUCUCUCUCAUGGGGGAAGGUUAAAAGCUCCGGCGGUGAAGGAUGAGCCCGCGGCCUAUCAGCUAGUUGGUGGGGUAAUGGCCUACCAAGGCGACGACGGGUAGCCGGCCUGAGAGGGCGACCGGCCACACUGGGACUGAGACACGGCCCAGACUCCUACGGGAGGCAGCAGUGGGGAAUAUUGCACAAUGGGCGAAAGCCUGAUGCAGCGACGCCGCGUGAGGGAUGACGGCCUUCGGGUUGUAAACCUCUUUCAGCAGGGAAGAAGCGAAAGUGACGGUACCUGCAGAAGAAGCGCCGGCUAACUACGUGCCAGCAGCCGCGGUAAUACGUAGGGCGCAAGCGUUGUCCGGAAUUAUUGGGCGUAAAGAGCUCGUAGGCGGCUUGUUGCGUCGGUUGUGAAAGCCCGGGGCUUAACCCCGGGUCUGCAGUCGAUACGGGCAGGCUAGAGUGUGGUAGGGGAGAUCGGAAUUCCUGGUGUAGCGGUGAAAUGCGCAGAUAUCAGGAGGAACACCGGG